CUUAAGCAUAUCAAUAAGCGGAGGAAAAGAAACCAACAGGGAUUGCCCUAGUAACGGCGAGUGAAGCGGCAACAGCUCAAAUUUGAAAUCUGGCGCAAGCCCGAGUUGUAAUUUGUAGAGGAUGCUUCGGGGCAGCGACCGGUCUAAGUUCCUUGGAACAGGACGUCAGAGAGGGUGAGAAUCCCGUAUGUGACCGGCCCGCGCCCUGCACGUAGCUCCUUCGACGAGUCGAGUUGUUUGGGAAUGCAGCUCUAAAUGGGAGGUAAAUUUCUUCUAAAGCUAAAUACCGGCCAGAGACCGAUAGCGCACAAGUAGAGUGAUCGAAAGAUGAAAAGUACUUUGGAAAGAGAGUUAAAAAGCACGUGAAAUUGUUGAAAGGGAAGCGCCUGCAACCAGACUUCGCGGCAGUGUUCCGCCGGUCUUCUGACCGGUUCAUUCUCUGCCGCGAGGCCAUCAUCGUCUGGGCCCGCCGGAUAAGACCUUGGGAAUGUAGCUCACCUCCGGGGGAGUGUUAUAGCCCAGGGUGAUGCGGCGCGGCUCGGGCGAGGUCCGCGCUUCGGCAAGGAUGAUGGCGUAAUGGUUGUCGGCGGCCCGUCUUGAAACACGGACCAAGGAGUCUAACAUCUAUGCGAGUGUUCGGGUGUCAAACCCCUACGCGUAAUGAAAGUGAACGGAGGUGGGAACCGCAAGGUGCACCAUCGACCGAUCCUGAUGUCCUCGGAUGGAUUUGAGUAAGAGCAUAGCUGUUGGGACCCGAAAGAUGGUGAACUAUGCCUGAAUAGGGUGAAGCCAGAGGAAACUCUGGUGGAGGCUCGCAGCGGUUCUGACGUGCAAAUCGAUCGUCAAAUUUGGGUAUAGGGGCGAAAGACUAAUCGAACCAU
RNAcentral lists this ribosomal RNA (881 nucleotides) under Neopseudocercosporella capsellae. RNAcentral's name for it is "eukaryotic LSU rRNA". It matches the Rfam family "Eukaryotic large subunit ribosomal RNA", at positions 33 to 943 of the family's 3401-position model. Lineage: Eukaryota; Fungi; Ascomycota; Dothideomycetes; Mycosphaerellales; Mycosphaerellaceae. The record is from RNAcentral.